Molecule: ribosomal RNA, 253 nt
Filed under: uncultured bacterium
Lineage: Bacteria
Description: partial 16S ribosomal RNA
Rfam family: Bacterial small subunit ribosomal RNA
Source: RNAcentral
UACGUAGGUGGCAAGCGUUGUCCGGAUUUACUGGGCGUAAAGAGCGCGCAGGCGGUCGUUCAAGUCGCGUGUGAAAGCCCCCGGCUCAACUGGGGAGGGUCACGCGAUACUGAUCGACUCGAAGGCAGGAGAGGGUAGUGGAAUUCCCGGUGUAGUGGUGAAAUGCGUAGAUAUCAGGAGGAACACCUGUGGUGUAGACAGCUUACUGGACCACGACUGACGCUGAGACACGAAAGCGUGGGUAGCAAACAGG